GCACAGAAUCGUGUUUGGAUCUCUGCUUCACUCUCUUGCACCAACUAUGCAGUGAUUCUCUAACGCUUUCUGCUACCACCGCCUUCUUCCAGCGAGAUCCCAUCUGGCGUGAUUUGUCAGAGAAAAUUCAAUCAUUGAAAUCAGGAAGCAAGUUAGACACCGGUGCAAAAUUCAGUUAUCCAAGAAGAUGAGCAAAUUGGUGAUUGUAUUCUAUGAAGGUAACUGAGUCUAACCCUAUUCCCAAACUACUUAUGAUGUAAUUAAGUAGGUUUCUUUAAGAGAAGCAAAAUAUGAAGACAAAAAGCCACAAGGUAUGUUUUAUUUUGUUAUAAUCCAUUAAAAAAUUAGAACAAAAAGAAAAUAUCCUUAACAAAUUAGAUACUUACGGUGAAGAAACCCUGACGAAGUGCAAGGUAGUCAGAUUUUUGUAUAGAACUCCGAAAUUGGCGCAGGAAACAAAGCUGCAAGAUCAAACUACAAAUUACCAACAGUUUAAAACAAGCCAGAACCUGUAUAAGGCUGAUAUUUAGCAAAAAGUAGCUGCAAAAAUUCUUCCAGCGCAGUAGGCUUUCACUAAGUUGGCACUCUUUGAAAAUUAUUACUUUUCAAGCCGACGUAUCUGAUUCCAGUACCAUAAAGAUUAUUUACUAAUUAAACAAUGCUCAUCAUCUAGUUGUUAGCAUAGUUUAAAAGUUUGCAGGUGAUCAUGAUUGAGAAUAUGUAUACUUCAUAUUUGAUGAUACAUUACCAUCCAGAUUAGUGUUGGACUCCUGCUCCAUGGAUGAGAAGUGUGAUGGAAAACAAAGGUUGUUUGUCUCCUCAUCACCUUGUUUUUCUUUUCUGUGAAACAGAAUCAAUAAAAAAUAAGGGCAGUUUUUCAGACAGGCAAUUCAUUAUAUGGAUGAUAAUUGCAUCAGAAAGAGAAGCAUUGGAACACCGUGUCUGAAAAGGCAGUGCUUGAACUGUUUGUUGUUUGAGAAAGAACCUAAAUCGCAGCAGAUAAUGUUGGACACUUGGACUGACAAUACAAAAUAUUAUGAUCUUAAUUUGCUUCGAGGAUGUAUAAUGGGAAUGCCUCAGGAAUGUUACCAUGUCAA
Long non-coding RNA from Prosopis cineraria, 1097 nucleotides. RefSeq lists it as uncharacterized. The transcript has 2 exons. The record is from RefSeq and is a predicted model, not a curated record. NCBI's taxonomy places the organism in Eukaryota, Viridiplantae, Streptophyta, Magnoliopsida, Fabales, Fabaceae.